This 253-nucleotide unclassified non-coding RNA is filed under the name uncultured Sphingobacteriales bacterium. RNAcentral describes it as "contains 16S-23S intergenic spacer region". It matches the Rfam family "Bacterial small subunit ribosomal RNA", at positions 524 to 776 of the family's 1533-position model. Lineage: Bacteria; Pseudomonadati; Bacteroidota; Sphingobacteriia; Sphingobacteriales. The record is from RNAcentral.
UACGGAGGAUCCAAGCGUUAUCCGGAUUUAUUGGGUUUAAAGGGUGCGUAGGCGGAAUGGUAAGUCAGUGGUGAAAUCCUGUAGCUUAACUACAGAAUUGCCGUUGAUACUGCCAAUCUUGAGUACAUUUGAAGUGGGCGGAAUGUGUCAUGUAGCGGUGAAAUGCUUAGAUAUGACACAGAACACCGAUUGCGAAGGCAGCUCACUAAACUGUUACUGACGCUGAUGCACGAAAGCGUGGGGAGCAAACAGG